GUGGUACUAAAGACGGAGAGCGGUAGGUAGGUGGUGUGAUAAUGAUUUCCAAGGAUGGGAUAUAUAUUCAAUGGGUAGACUUCAAUUUCCCCGAUGAGAAAACAAUGUUGUCUUUUCAACUUGGAAUAUUGCAUUCAUCUGCAGUAGUUUAUAUAAAUGAGUGUUAGAAAUUUGAAACAUCAACAAUAUUUCAGACCGAUGACACGUUACAAGGUUUGAAAUGACAAUGAAAGAAGCGCAUACACAAACACAAACAUGUGUUGCCAUAAAUCAAAGAAAUGGAUCUUAAGAAAAAAAAAAACAGAACUGAAAAUGAAAAAAAAUGAUAUGAAACAAAAUUAGUAUAACACGCUAAUGAGUCCUGUCAAUUGUCAUAUCAGACGAAUAGUUUGGUUUUGUGUGGACUUUAUUUUGCACAAUGAGAAAAUUCAAAGUCGUCUUUUUUAGGGGAAAAACUGGGAAACAUCUUCUCAACUUGGAAUAUUGCACCUGCAAGUGGUUAACGUAAAAUGAGUGUUUGAAAUUUGAAACUUGAAGCAUCCUUGGGGUCGUUUUUCAACCACCUCCUCCCAUUUGGACAACUUUGAGUUUCUUUUUGGUUUUUUUUUCUUCCUCAAUCCAUUCUUCCCAACCCAAUAACUUCAGACAUGCAUUUCACUAUAUAUAGAGGGAAGCUCUACACUCCUGCGUCCCUUAAUACAUCAUAUUAAGGGGUAAUACUAUGGAGAUGGAUUUAAUUAGUCUAGGACAAAUUUAUGGACAAAAUUUCUGUCAUGGUGGAGUGUCUUUUAGUGUGUUCCAAACUCAGUUGAUGAGUUGUUGUUUCAAUGGCCAAUAAUGAUCAAUGGCAAGUUUAAGAGAAAGUCAUGGCAACUACUCUCAUAUAGUAUUGCUUGGAGUAUCUGAUUAACCAUAAAUAAUUUUGUUUUCAAUAAUAUACAACUAGAUCUGGAUCAGUCAUGCUUCUCUUUAACCCUCCACUGGUUGUCUGCAUGGUGAAGAGCAUUUCAGUAAUGAUCUUUAAAUAGGUGCAGAUAGCAUUCCUAUAUAGACAAAUUAAUAGCAAAAGACAGAUGAUUGUUAGUGUCGUGAUAUUGGAAUAACUUUUACAGACUUUUUCCUUAGGAUUAUACUUUUCUAUGUUUUCUUUCUAUUAAUGAUAUUAUUUUGUAAAAACUAUUAUUUUUUUUUUCCUUGGCCAUUUUCUAAAUGGCUAACAUGAUAUUAAUUAUACAAUUGAUUAUUAUAUAUAAAAAAAUUAUUCUAGUAAACAAUCAUGUGCUCUUGUAAAUAAAUUUUUUGAAUGGCCACCAAAGAGUUAUUGGUGUGUUUGGGAACGUGUUGCAAACCACUUUCCAAAAAAUUUUAAUUUUUUUUAUAUUUUAAGAUUAUUUUGACAUACUGAUUUCAAAAAUAAUAAAAUUUUAUUUUGAUGCAUUUUACCGUUACCACAAUUCUAAAUAAACUAAUAUUCUCAUAAAGUAACUUCAAAUUUCUUAUGCCAGGUAAAAUAUUAUCCUAGUUAUUGUGUGUCAAAAUAUUAAUUCAAUUCAAGAAUUUACAUGUUUUAACCCAAAAAUUUAAACUUUCACUUAAAUAAAAAUAAAGGAUCUAAGAAUGGUUAUAUAGUAAACCGCUAACAUUGAGAUGUGUUCCCUAUCACAAUUGAAGCCAGCUCAAACACAUUUAUUACUCUUGCUAGUGUAUGCGGUGCCAAUAAUGGUUGCACGUUAUAGAGUACUAGGGGCUGGAUAAUUUCUAUUUUUUAGGCUGAUUUUCAUUUGCUUUGGUUCUUUUUAUGGUAAAAUUCGGCUCUCCUCUUUCGUGGCCUAUGCUGCUUAUUUGUGGUCGGAAGUUAGGGACUUGAUUUUGGUGAUGAACACGUUGCAAAUUUGCAAGCAGGUUAUAAAGGUCGCAGAGAACAAGAUGGGAAAAAUGCAACAUAUACUUGGAGUAAAUUGAUUUGUACAUAUUGUGUUUGAUAUGUAGAUUUAAGGCAUUUUGAUUUUACAAAAUUCAGAAAUCAUUGGUAACAUAUACUUCUUUUUAAGUACUUACCUAUGAAAGUUGAAUUUUCCGAGACACUUUAAUGGGGGGGGGGGGUAUUUAAUGGAUAAAUUAAAAAUGAAAUAAAUAUUCAUAAUUCACUAAUCACAGAAUUAUGUUGUCAAAUUUAAUGAUUUGUAUUAGUUAGUCCAUGAUAUUUGAUGGUGAACUAGGUUAGAAUUAAAUUUUAAGAAUAGUUCUAGUGUUAAAAGAAGUUCACUCUCUCCUUAACCUUUUUUAGUAUGAGCAAAGAGUCGAUAUCUAAAGAAAUUUAUUCUUCUAAAUACACUAUGUUAAUUUUUUUUCUAAGCUAGUAGAGUAAAUAAGACUUCAGAAGCACCUUUAACAAUGUUGUUACCCCCUUUUUAAUUAGGGCCCCACAUAAACAAAAUUAAUAUUGUCAUAGUUGUAUCUACUAUCUACACCUCAACUUGUAAAAAGUGAAAAAUAAAUAAACAUUACUAUAAAAUUAUCUAUUCAAAUUUUAAUAAUGUUCUCCCUCAAUUACUAAAACAACCCAUAAGUUACUAGCUAGUUAUAUAUAUAUAUAUAUGAGUGAAGAAACUUUAGUAAGAGAAUCACACUGACAAAAGAAAGCAAGGUGAAGAACGAGUAGAAAUACCAACAGCUAGGGAAAAUAACAAGCCACAAAAACAAGAAACAUUACCAAACUACGUAACCAAAACCAGAAAUGCUUAACAUGCCUCAAACCAUGGAUAAAAAAGCGACACGCUAUGUAGCCAUGCCUUCGAAGCUACUAUAUCAUUUGAUAAGAUCAAACCACUCCCUCUCCUCCCGCAUCAAAUCAUGGAGCACUAGGUAUCGGCCCGGGUACACCGCUUGUGCAACGCUCAUAAUCGCAUUCAAGUACUGUUGGAGACCUCGCAAUCACAAUUAGGUUGGAACAUGAUAAAAGAACAAUGAUAACAAGGAGUAUUAUUAUCAUGUAUCGGUUAUUUCCUCGAGACCCCAUUUAUGAAAUGAAAAAGAAAAAGCUGGAACUUCUUUAGGGAAUGUAUAUAAAAAACUUGGUAUGUGAGUAGAGAGCUAGCUAGUUUGCAAGAGUAGUGGUAAAGAUGGUGAGGGUAGCUAGGUGGUGUGAUAUAUACACACACACAUACAAAAAAAAUGAAAUAUGUCCCUUCAUUUUCAUGGAUUCACAUCAUUGCGGGGUCUAGCUUACUUUUCCACCAUAGGUUUGCUC
This 3250-nucleotide long non-coding RNA is filed under the name Populus trichocarpa (black cottonwood). RNAcentral describes it as "long non-coding RNA (PTRI_LNC003933)". Lineage: Eukaryota; Viridiplantae; Streptophyta; Magnoliopsida; Malpighiales; Salicaceae. The record is from RNAcentral.